CUACGGGUUGCUGCAGUGGGGAAUAUUGGACAAUGGGGGCAACCCUGAUCCAGCCAUGCCGCGUGUGUGAAGAAGGCCUUUUGGUUGUAAAGCACUUUAAGCAGGGAGGAGAGGCUAAUGGUUAAUACCCAUUAGAUUAGACGUUACCUGCAGAAUAAGCACCGGCUAACUCUGUGCCAGCAGCCGCGGUAAUACAGAGGGUGCGAGCGUUAAUCGGAAUUACUGGGCGUAAAGCGAGUGUAGGUGGCUCAUUAAGUCACAUGUGAAAUCCCCGGGCUUAACCUGGGAACUGCAUGUGAUACUGGGGGUGCUAGAAUAUGUGAGAGGGAAGUAGAAUUCCAGGUGUAGCGGUGAAAUGCGUAGAGAUCUGGAGGAAUACCGAUGGCGAAGGCAGCUUCCUGGCAUAAUAUUGACACUGAGAUUCGAAAGCGUGGGUAGCAAACAGGAUUAGAUACCCGCGUAGUC
RNAcentral lists this ribosomal RNA (465 nucleotides) under uncultured bacterium. RNAcentral's name for it is "partial 16S ribosomal RNA". It matches the Rfam family "Bacterial small subunit ribosomal RNA", at positions 339 to 795 of the family's 1533-position model. The record is from RNAcentral.